UGUAGUAUCAAAUAUUGUGCAUUCACACACAAAGGAAAUACAUUAUAGUAAAGUUCCUUCAGUAAAUAGUGAAGGUGAAGCGACAAUGCUAAACACCUGUGCCAAGGAAUGCUUUAUCCUGAUUUAGAGCUAAAAUAAAAGAAUAUAAAGAUGUAAAAAGAAUGAAAGUAAAAGAGGAAAAUCAAAAGGAUGAAAGUAAAGGAGAAAACUCAUCACUGUCUGUAACAGCAGAAACUGGCUUCUCAUUCUGUGUGCAGAAAACCAACCCUCCAAAUGCCAACAGCAGCUGAGGUCUCCUUGUGCUUCUCAGGAGCUAUCUGCUAGCAACACUCACCAUGGAAGCAGGAGAAUGGGGUACACCUGGCCCUGGGCACCACUAAAAGGAAGUGACUAGCCUUCAAAUGGGCUUGGUAAACACCUGCCAGCAAAGCUUCUGCGUGGAAACCCUUCUGGGAAGAGGUCAGGAAGAAAUGACAAAGAAAUGUGAACUACAACAAAUAAUGCCAUUUGCCUUGGAGUCACACAUUAGCAAUGCAAGGAAAGCAAUGACAGACAGCGUGGCAACUCCUGAGAGCUCCAGAGGACCUCUAACCCUAUGGAGAAGGUGGAUCUAACAAAUUCUUGAGCUGCAGUUUAUUUCCAAUGGCAAACCUAAUGCUGGAAUUGAAGCGUUAGCAUUUCUGUUUAUCCAACUCUACUGAAAGUAACUAAUACAUUUAUACAGCACUUUGGAUGUUUAGAUUAUAUUCAGGCAUUAGAGACAUCCUGUUCAGAAAAGCUACUUAAAUGAGCCAGGGAAUUUUAGGACAGAACUAAAUUCUCUGUUGCUGUCUUCAGAAAACCUUAGUGGCUGCUGAAGGAGCAUGAAUGGCUCUGAAGAUCUGCAGGUUCUCUGGGUGCAAGGGUGGAAUGGGAAAGACACUGCCUCAGCCCUCCUGGGUUCCUGUUGUGACCUUCUAUGCCAUUGCUGGAGUGACAGAUGGGUUUGCCUGGGGGCCUUGCUGGUGUUCUGCUGUUCCUAUUACCUGGGGGUUUAUGCUGGUGGCUGAGAAGUCCCAACAGUUCUGUUAUUUCCCCUGCACUGGGCAAAGGUGGCUGAAGAUGCUCACAGUGGGGCAGGGAUCCUCGAAUGAAAGGAAUUGGAGCAAUGCACAUGGCAGACAGAUGCUGAAUUCCUCCGUGUUUCAAUUACUCACCAGAGGAGUAUGCUGUGCUGUAGGCACAGGGACAAGGUGUGAGUAGGAAGUGUAUAGGGAAGGGGGGGUGCCUCUCCCACCAAGAAUAUGUGCUUUGUACCCUCCACUUUUCUGUUAUUCAGCCUGCCAGCAAAAUGAAAACCAUGUGAGGGGUGGAGCAGGAGGGCAGGGAUUUAUGGGUUGUUUUAUAUGAGAUGAUGUAAAACACUUUUAUUUCAAGUUCUCUGUUGCGUUAAUUUCCUUUCUCCUUCUCUUGCUCUUUUCAUAACCACAUGCAGGAGAGAGGCAGAGCAGGAGAGAUCCAGGCCCUGUGCAGACACAGCAUAAAUCUAACUACAGAAUGCCAGUGGUCAGUGGCUAACCCACCCCUUCUAUUACCAUGCCAUUUACUCUGGUUUCUGGGAAAUGAAACAUGGAGCCAGGUGAUGUCUUUGUGCUGUGGGCACCUCAGUUUGUGCUGGUUCCCAAAAGCUGUGCUGAAAUGGGGAGUUACAAUAAGUGUGCACUUUUUCCUUCCUAAAUAACCAUCCUGGGGGUUAGGGUUUACUGCUGUAUGGCAAGAUCCAUAUGUGUAUAUUGCUCCUGUGUCCAGACUAUAACAUUAUAGAGCAUAUUUAAAUGAAAAUCCUCAUCCACUGUGUAAAAAUAACAACCCCAGGACAAAAAAUCUGUUCAAAUUGUAGCAAUUAUUGCUCUUAUUUCCAUAAACCUUAAUCCUACCCUGGGCUAUUAGACCAAGUCUUUUUAAAGCCAUGUUGGACAGAAAGGUUUACUGAGAUCAGUCUGGAGGUCACCCAGAGCUUUCAUGUUCUAGUUAGAGCCUCAGUAAGUUCGGGGGGUCUGUGCACAGGCCUCAUGGCAGAAUCAGGCUGUCAGGGAUGAGGUAAAGGAAGUAGUUGUGGAAUAACCCAAUGAACUUCUAUGGUAAGGCAUGGAAAAUGCUUGGUUACAGGCUUGUUACUUCAUUCUGGACUGAGGACAGCAAAAAUGAAGAGACAGGAAAGGUUGGAAAAGAUUGUUUAAAGCAAAGCUAAUGAUAAUAAAAACAGCACAUGUGGAAGGUAGUAAAUGUGAUGGGAUGGGCAACCAUUCACUAAGCACUAAGUAGUGAUGGUAGCUACUAAACCAGCAGUGGUUGGGAACAGAGCUCAUCUCUGUGCAUUCCACCCUUAUU
Long non-coding RNA from Pezoporus occidentalis (night parrot), 2370 nucleotides. RefSeq lists it as uncharacterized. The record is from RefSeq and is a predicted model, not a curated record. The transcript is spliced from 3 exons. NCBI's taxonomy places the organism in Eukaryota, Metazoa, Chordata, Aves, Psittaciformes, Psittacidae.